CGCCUGUUUAUCAAAAACAUCUCUUCUCGUUAGUUUUUGAAGUAUGGCCUGCCCACUGACCUUGAAUGUUGAAGGGCCGCGGUAUUUUGACCGUGCAAAGGUAGCAUAGUCAUUAGUUCUUUAAUUGUGAUCUGGUAUGAAUGGUUUGACGAGGCAUAAGCUGUCUUAAUUUUGAAUUGUUUAUUGAAUUUGGUCUUUGAGUUAAAAUUCUUAGAUGUUUUUAUGGGACGAGAAGACCCUAUAGAGUUUGACAUUUAUUAUGGUCUUUUUCUGUUUGUGAGGGUUCACUAGGGCUGUUUAAUAUGUUUUGUUGGGGUGAUGGGAGGGAUAUUAUUUAACCCCUCCUUUGUGUUGUUAUAUUUAUUUAUAUUUGCUUGAUCCAUUUAUUUUGAUUGUAAGAUUAAAUUACCUUAGGGAUAACAGCGUAA
Molecule: ribosomal RNA, 428 nt
Filed under: Reticulitermes flavipes (eastern subterranean termite)
Lineage: Eukaryota; Metazoa; Arthropoda; Insecta; Blattodea; Rhinotermitidae
Description: partial 16S ribosomal RNA
Rfam family: Archaeal large subunit ribosomal RNA (bases 1-214)
Source: RNAcentral